GUUAUUCUUUCUUGUUUUCACUUUAUUUGUAUAAAUGUAUUUUCAUUCUUUUAUUUUGAAAAGCAACAUUUAUUUUGAAAAAAAGGAAGUGUGAUCCUCCAGCAAACUUUAUUUUUCCUGUUGCCGGAUCACAAGGGAUAAAUGCCUUUUUCAUUGGUUGAAGGUGGUUUUAGCCCCGUCUUCCAAAACACCAGACCAUCAUUUCACAUGAGCUAGGUCUUUUCGCACGUGGAAGUAGAUGAGACAGGCCACGGAUAGCUCGUGCGGAAUUUUAUAUCAUUUUGGCUAGGUUUUUUCCCCUUGUUGGUGUGGAAGGAACUAAGAUUCUGGAUUACGAUGGAUUCUCUCCGGAUGGAGAUGGCGAGCCUGAGCCCA
Long non-coding RNA from Oreochromis niloticus (Nile tilapia), 375 nucleotides. RefSeq lists it as uncharacterized. The record is from RefSeq and is a predicted model, not a curated record. The transcript has 2 exons. Lineage: Eukaryota; Metazoa; Chordata; Actinopteri; Cichliformes; Cichlidae.